RNAcentral lists this ribosomal RNA (557 nucleotides) under Companilactobacillus futsaii. RNAcentral describes it as "bacterial SSU rRNA". It matches the Rfam family "Bacterial small subunit ribosomal RNA", at positions 64 to 591 of the family's 1533-position model. The record is from RNAcentral. Lineage: Bacteria; Bacillati; Bacillota; Bacilli; Lactobacillales; Lactobacillaceae.
GAACCAUCCUGUUGAUUGAAGCUUGCUUCUUGAUUCAGAUUUUGGUGAGUGGCGGACGGGUGAGUAACACGUGGGUAACCUGCCCAAAAGUGGGGGAUAACAUUUGGAAACAAGUGCUAAUACCGCAUAACAACUGCUUUCACAUGAUCGCAGCUUGAAAGAUGGCUCUGCUAUCGCUUUUGGAUGGACCCGCGGCGUAUUAGCUAGUUGGUGAGGUAAUAGCUCACCAAGGCAAUGAUACGUAGCCGACCUGAGAGGGUAAUCGGCCACAUUGGGACUGAGACACGGCCCAAACUCCUACGGGAGGCAGCAGUAGGGAAUCUUCCACAAUGGGCGAAAGCCUGAUGGAGCAAUGCCGCGUGAGUGAAGAAGGUUUUCGGAUCGUAAAACUCUGUUGUUGAAGAAGAACAUGCGUGAGAGUAACUGUUCACGUACUGACGGUAUUCAACCAGAAAGCCACGGCUAACUACGUGCCAGCAGCCGCGGUAAUACGUAGGUGGCAAGCGUUGUCCGGAUUUAUUGGGCGUAAAGAGAAUGUAGGCGGUUUAUUAAGUUUG